CUAUAGAAUUUUAUAUUAACUUUACCUAGCGGUUAAUGCUGGUUUUUUGUUAAUAUUUGGUUGGGAGGAUUAUUAAAUUUAACAAACUUUAUAUCAUUAUAAACUUUGAUUUAAGAAAAUAUAAUGAUCUUCAAUUUGAAAUAGUUAGAGUAAAUUACCUUAGGGAUAACAGCGUAAUAUUUUUUUAUAGACCUUAUAGAAAAAAAUGGUUGCGACCUCGAUGUUGAAUUAAGAUAAAUUUUAAAUGCAGGAGUUUAAUAAUUAAGUCUGUU
RNAcentral lists this ribosomal RNA (272 nucleotides) under Lepidotrigona ventralis. RNAcentral describes it as "partial large subunit ribosomal RNA". Lineage: Eukaryota; Metazoa; Arthropoda; Insecta; Hymenoptera; Apidae. The record is from RNAcentral.